GUCUCUUCCAAGGAAACAUGAAAUUCCUCUAGGAACUAGAGCGCUCACACAUGGGAUUCUUUCCAGCUUCACGUCAGGCCAAUCUCUGCACUGUUGGCUCUUCUAUAAAGGCAGAGCUGCUACAGCAAGAUCCAAUGCCAUUAUCAAGAACCGCAUCAUUAGACCGUCUGGUGGCUAUAACUCCAAGAUAAACAGUUACUUCUGUCAGCCACAGCAUUCCACAAAGCUCAGCGAUCACAACUGUGCAGUUGAAGACACAGUUCAAGUGUACAGCCCACCAUGACUGAGAAGUAAACGGAAGCCACUGACAUUGAUAUGGCUCAGAAGAUAGCUGGAUUAUGGAGUGGUGUUGGGGGAAUAGAAAUCUUCUCAAUCCUGGAAGGCUAGCAUGG
Molecule: long non-coding RNA, 392 nt
Filed under: Mus caroli (Ryukyu mouse)
Lineage: Eukaryota; Metazoa; Chordata; Mammalia; Rodentia; Muridae
Description: lncRNA (MGP_CAROLIEiJ_G0005587.1)
Source: RNAcentral